Molecule: ribosomal RNA, 468 nt
Filed under: uncultured bacterium
Lineage: Bacteria
Description: partial 16S ribosomal RNA
Rfam family: Bacterial small subunit ribosomal RNA
Source: RNAcentral
GACGAACGCUGGCGGCGUGCUUAACACAUGCAAGUCGAACGGAAAGGCCCUGCUUUUGUGGGGUGCUCGAGUGGCGAACGGGUGAGUAACACGUGAGUAACCUGCCCUUGACUUUGGGAUAACUUCAGGAAACUGGGGCUAAUACCGGAUAGGAGCUCCUGCUGCAUGGUGGGGGUUGGAAAGUUUCGGCGGUUGGGGAUGGACUCGCGGCUUAUCAGCUUGUUGGUGGGGUAGUGGCUUACCAAGGCUUUGACGGGUAGCCGGCCUGAGAGGGUGACCGGCCGCAUUGGGACUGAGAUACGGCCCAGACUCCUACGGGAGGCAGCAGUGGGGAAUAUUGCACAAUAGGCGGAAGCCUGAUGCAGCAACGCCGCGUGCGGGAUGACGGCCUUCGGGUUGUAAACCGCUUUCGCCUGUGACGAAGCGUGAGUGACGGUAAUGGGUAAAGAAGCACCGGCUAACUACGUG